This is a long non-coding RNA of Carcharodon carcharias (great white shark), 426 nucleotides long. RefSeq lists it as uncharacterized. The transcript is spliced from 3 exons. The record is from RefSeq and is a predicted model, not a curated record. NCBI's taxonomy places the organism in Eukaryota, Metazoa, Chordata, Chondrichthyes, Lamniformes, Lamnidae.
UGUCAGAAUGGUCUUGUUGUCAGGAAUGGUAAGGAGCCUGAGGCAGGGGAGACCUAAAUGUUCCUCGUGGGGCCAGGAAUAUAAAUAGUAGUAGAACAAUUUACCUCUUUGGGUCUCUUCUGCCUCCGGCUCCACAUCCUGCGUGCUUGUGAAAACCAAAAUGGAUUCCCCAUUUAGGCCACCAGUUAAAAUAGCACUUGGGCCCUGAUGAUGUCUAUUACAGUUUUCUAUCUACAUGUCACUGCAUGAGUGGCAUAGAUUCUCUGCCAGAAAAACUUGUGGAAGCAGAAUUCAUAAUGGAUCUUAAAAAGGGCUGACAUUUGGGGAAAAAGUGCUAAGAGGACAAGCAUGCUCAUAACAAACAUGAGCAGGCCAAGGCUGGAGGGGAUACAGCCAAAAUUCAUCUGCUCACCACGUAUGAGGAAC